GACAUUUGGUAGAGACUGUUGAAGCCACCUGGUCCUAGCAGACCCCAGAAGGCAGCCACAUUCACUGGUGCUGGGGCAAGGUCAUUAAUGGUGAAGCCUGGUGCCAGAUGUGU
Ribosomal RNA from Panthera pardus (leopard), 113 nucleotides. The record is from Ensembl. NCBI's taxonomy places the organism in Eukaryota, Metazoa, Chordata, Mammalia, Carnivora, Felidae.